This 386-nucleotide ribosomal RNA is filed under the name uncultured bacterium. RNAcentral describes it as "bacterial SSU rRNA". It matches the Rfam family "Bacterial small subunit ribosomal RNA", at positions 29 to 416 of the family's 1533-position model. The record is from RNAcentral.
AUUGAACGCUGGCGGCAUGCCUUACACAUGCAAGUCGAACGGUAACGCGGGGCAACCUGGCGACGAGUGGCGAACGGGUGAGUAAUACAUCGGAACGUGCCCAGUAGUGGGGGAUAGCCCGGCGAAAGCCGGAUUAAUACCGCAUACGACCUACGGGUGAAAGCAGGGGAUCGCAAGACCUUGCGCUAUUGGAGCGGCCGAUGUCAGAUUAGGUUGUUGGUGGGGGUAAAAAGCCUACCAAGCCGACGAUCUGUAGCUGGUCUGAGAGGACGACCAGCCACACUGGGACUGAGACACGGCCCAGACUCCUACGGGAGGCAGCAGUGGGGAAUUUUGGACAAUGGGCGCAAGCCUGAUCCAGCCAUGCCGCGUGCGGGAAGAAGGCC